AUUCUUUGCUACAAACUUGGGCCUGAAAGGCAGGUGGGGUAAAGGAACAGCACUAGUCUUAGAACCAGCCUUUUACUGGCUAUGACACCUUGAGCUAGUCCCUUGGCUUGUCUGAGCCUCAGUUUGUCCUUCUGGAAGGUAAGGAUUAUGAUGAAAUUAUCCUCAAAGUAGGGGUGGCAGGCAAACACUAGCAGGCCCUGGAUAAAUGCAUGUGAAUGGCUCUCCAGAUUGCUGGAUUCCAGUUCUGCCUGGCUGUGUUUUUUUUUGUUUUGUUUUGUUUUUUGAGACAGAGUCACGCUCUGUCACCCAGGCUGGAGUGCAGUGGUGCAAUCUCGGCUCACUACAAGCUCUGCCUCCCAGGUUCACGCGAUUCUCCUGCCCAAGCCUCCUGAGUAGCUGGGAUUACAGGCAUGCACCAACACGCCUGGCUAAUUCUGUAUUUUUAGUAGAGGCGGGGGUUUCUCCAUGUUGGUCAGGCUGGUCUCGAAUUCCUGACCUCAGGUGAUCCGCCCGCCUCAGCACUCCCAAAGUACUGGGAUUACAGCUGUGAGGCACCGCACCCAGCCAAAAAUUUCCAGUUGCUUUCUUUUCUUUUUGAGAUAGAGUUUCACUCUUGUUGCCCAGACUGGAGUGCAAUGGCACGAUCUCGACUCACUGCAACCUCUGCCUCCUGGGUUCAAGCAAUUCUCCUGUCUCAGCCUCCCAAGUAGCUGGAAUUACAGGCGUGUGCUACCAUGCCCAGCAAUUUUUUUUUUUUUUUUUUCAGUAGAGAUGGAGUUUCACCAGGCCAGGCUGAUCUCGAACUCCUGACCUCAGGUGAUCCACCCGCCUCAGCCUCCCAAAGUGAUAGGAUUAUGAUUACAGGCGUGAGCCACUGCGCCCUGCCUGGGCUGUGGUCUUUAACUGGCUGAGAGCCUUCAGAUGAGAACACUCUGAGCCUCAGUCUCCUUCAAUGGAGGCACUGGACAGCAGGAAGUCAGAGAAGACUUUCAGUGCUAACUGCUCAGUUUUUAUCAAAGCAACUGUGAAUUGUAGAAAGGGGAAAAUUAGCUCUGAAGUAUUUAAGAGGAAAAUGGGGAAUUUUCUUGGAAUUGAUUGAACAUGUUUUAAGACAUCACAAGGAUGCCUCCAAACCUGCUUGACUAUGAACAAUGACUUGUUCUCCUCCAAGGACUAGAUAUGGAGUCUUAUGCUGACCAGGCUGGUCUUGAACUCCUGACCUCCAGUGAUCCUCCAUCUCAGCCUCCCAAAGCCCUGGAAUUACAGGCAAGGUUAUUGAAGAUCACACAGGCUGAAGAAGGGCUGCUGAAUUCUUCAAUAUGAACCAUCCCUUUGAUAAGAAACUGAGUGGGCCUGGUUCUUCUCAUCCCAGGAGAGCUCUGGUGUGCUUCCUGGCAUAUAACCUCAUGGAGAGAGGUGCUGACGCCAUUUGGAAGAAUAAUAUCCUGAGGUGCAGAGAUGUAAGAGAACUUCCCAAGAUCAUACAGUGAUUAGAUGUGGGGCGGGACAGAGGCUCCACUCAGGUCUGCACUGCUACAAAGCUGUACCCUCUGGGCUGAUGGCAUGGCUCAGUGAAGGAGCUCUCUCUGUUCCCAAGGCAGAGGCUCUAACUGUCUUCACCUGGGUUCAAGGCGCUGGGAGGAAAAUGAACAUCUGUUGUGUACCCCCCAUACACCAGACACACUGCUAGGCUAUGCUAAUUUAUGAAAUCUUCCCAACAACCCAGAAAAGAAUGCACCAUUAUUUUCACCACUCACAGAUGGAAAACAGGCUUGGAGAGGGAAGAUGACUUGCUUCAGGUCCUCACCAUAGAUGCUUGGAUGUCUUUCUGUUUUCAGAAGCCUCAUGUCCUAUUACUUCUCUGAGUAGCACAGAGCCGAGGGAAUUUUGCUACAGAUCAAGUGCAGGGAGGUAUUUGGGGAAAAUAGCUUAUUGUGACAUUGCCUGAGCACUUGACUAUGAAACCAGGUCUCCUCCUAAGAGCAUUGAAUGUGCAUUAACUCAUUCCCUCCUCAAAGCAAACCUAUGUGGCAAACACCAAACACCAAUAUCAUGCCCACUUAACAGAUGGAGAAUCUGAAGCGCAGCACGAAGAGGUGUAUUAACUUGAUGAAGGUCACACGGCCAAGAGCAAUUUAAAAGAAGAAAAAAAAUCCUUCUCUGAAUGGAGACAGAUGCCAUAUAUGUUGGACCCUCAGGGGAUUGAAAAGGAUGAGGUUCCCAAGUCCAGUGUUCUGGGGACGGACGUGGGUGGAAGGAAACUCACAAGUGAUGGGAAUCCAGGAUCAACUGCAACACCCACAGCAAGGCCAGCAAGGCACUAACCACCCAGUCCAGGGCAGGGCCCUUCAAGGUUUUAUUCCCAAGGCCUCCCCAGUAGCCUGUCUGACUGUUCUCUACAUGCUAUUUACUGAGUACUAAAUAUUGAGUGAUGGGUGAAGUGCACAUCAUCCCCCUUAACUUUCCCCACAACUCCAUGUUGAGAUGCUGUUGUACAUAUGAGAACACAGAUACUACAUUGCCCAAUGUCAUCAACUAGAACAGCAGGAAUCUGUGUGCUGGGAAGCCAGACCCCAGAACCAGUGCUCUCAAAUCCCCACCAAUGUCAUCUAGUGGUUACUGGAGUCCUUAUUUUGGAGUCCUGAUAUCCAUGCUACCAAUUCCUAUCUGAGUGACAAUGAACAUGUCACUUCCCUUUCUGAGUUGGCUUCCACACUCACAGGAUGGAGACUGAGAUACCAUUUUGCUAGGGUGUUAUCAAGAUUCAGAGAUCCAAAGUUACACUUAAAAGUCAUUUGAGACAUUUGUUCUUUUUUUCUACCCCACCCCCUGCCUAAAAGGUUCUCCUCUUACCCAGGAUGAACUCAAGAUGUAACAUUUUAAAAUGAGCCUUAGGAAAAAACCUGCAAGGGUUGGUACCAGCUGGAGAAAAAUAAAUACGCUCAUGUGGGUGCCAAAGAUUCAAAAGAGAGAAGCAGCAGCCCAAACCAGAGUCUACACCAGAGGGAAUCAUUAUGGAAGGAGAAAGUUCAUCCUAUCAUUGUGCAGAAAGGAAGGAUCCAUGUGUGACUCUAGGGAGUAGGAUCCAAAGCAUCAUUUUCUAGCUCUGUAAAUAGACUAUGGACUCUUUGCUAGUUAGGACACAGUAUCUUUCUAAUGUUAGGGCCCAGAAGAGGGUCUUACACAGCAGUACUUAGUUGUUGAGCUCUGAAUGCAGCUAAAAUUCAACUGUGGGUUGUCUAAUAACCAGUUUUUGCUUCAACCAAAGGCAAGUUUGAUCUAGUUUGAUAAGAUGUGCUAGAUGCUGGAGAAUCCAUUACCAACAGUCAAGAAUCACAUAAAAGAGCUGCUCUAUGCAUACCUAAGUGGGAAAACUGUAAAAAAAACAUGAUUAGCAUAAAAGACAGGGUCUUGGCCACUUCCAGAAGGGAGGACAGGGUUACAAUUGGAAAUGGAGGCAUGGUGGGUGUGUUGGGGGAGGGCUUAUGGAAUGCAGGCAAUAUUCUAUUUCUUGACAUGGGUGAUGGUUUAGGUGAGAAUUGCUUAAUUCGUAUCAAAACUGUAAAUAAUGUUUUACAUAUUUUUCUAUAUAUUAUAUUGCACAGUAAAAUUGCUAAACAUCUAUCUAUCUAUCUAUCUAUCUAUCUAUCUAUCUAUCUAUCUAGUUAUCUAUCUAUCUUAUAGUAAAUCUACUAAAAGGACAUGUCAAAAUGUUAGUAGUAGCUAUUUGGAGGUGACAUGACUAUGGGUGAUAUUGUUCUUUAUUUUUUCUCUAUAUGUCCUAAAUAUUCUUGUAUGUGCAUAUAAUAAUUUCAUAAUUAAAAAAAAACACGUUUUAGUUGAAUUGCUUCAUUACCUAAAUAAGGCAACAACAAAAACGUGAAGGUCAGUUCCACCACUUCUGCCUGAAAUUCCUCCAAUGGAGAACCUCAUCUUCUCCCUAAGGUUCAAUGUGCAUGAAAGAACAGCUCUGCAGAGUAAGUUGAGGGGUGCCAAAUCCCACUGGCUCUUAUAUAGGCCUAUCUGCAGUGUCUUCCCCCUCUGGAACCAAGUACAUCUUUGACUUAGGUACUGUGGCGGGAAAGGGAGAUGCCCCAGAGAGAAUCAAGUUUAACUCUGAAUUUGUAGGAAGGACAGGAGCAUAGCUGAGGAUUCACAGUAAACAGAGUCAUGUUGAGAAACAGGGUCCCUUCAUCACCUCGGACUGUAUUAUCCCCAUGAUCAUGGGCCUGAAAAAUCACCUUUCCCUUUCAGUGAUGAUGAAGAAAAUUUCUGAAAACCAAGGAAAGCCAGAAAAGGCUACUAAGUUUCCUAGCUCAACAAGCUCCUCUCUACACAAUAGGACCUGAUCUUAGGAAGGGAGGCCAUGGCCCUGGGUUUUGCUCAUGCCUGGCUACUUUCACUGGGUCCGGCCAACAAUAUUGUAAGGUGCAGGGAUCAUUCCCAUUUUAUGGAUCAGAUUAGAGGGGCUCAGAUACAUUCAGCAAUUUGUCCAAAGUCACACAGCUUCCCAGUUACAGGGAUGGGAUUUGAAUCCAACUCUGAAUUAUGGACAAGUCUAUUCUUUUUACUGGACUGGAAUUCUGAUUAACUAGCCCAUCUCUCUCUAGGAACGUCUGUCACUCAGUUCGGGUAGAAUUUUCUCAAUGAGGAGAAAGGCUAUUGAGUGUUUGAUGAAACCUUCUCACUGUUUGCUCCCUCAAGGGAAAGGGAUUUCAAAAUACCUGGGCUAGUGGGUCAAGACUUCUUAAAGCAGGGAUCAGAGAGAAGCUGGAGAAUACAGGCAAAAGGAUACCUUUAUUAUUUGUAAAAUUUAAUAACAAUAAUAAUAAUGUCAUUUGUCAUCCAUUUAUCCUCAAGACCUAUGAUAAAAGACAAAAGAAUGAUGAUAAAAAUAAAAGCAUGUUAUCCUGGGUGGAAGAGAGUCCUACACUGGAAUUUCAGACACCUGGGUUCUAUCCAAGCAUAGCUCUUGUGCUCUUUAGCCUCAAUUUGAUCAUCUUUAUUUAUUACCCAAGGGGAAAAUACACACACACACACACACACACACACACACACACACACACGGUUAAGAUCAAGCUAGGAAGUCAGUUGUCCUAAAAAGAAAAAAAAAUUGGAAAAGCUCUAGGAAAAGCAGAAUGUGUAGUUCUGACUUAGAAAAUUGUCCCGAAGAAACACAACUGUAUGCUUUUUAUGCUUCCAUUUUUAAAAUUACAUAUAUAAAUUCUUAUUUAUAUUUGCAUAUGCAUAGGGAAGAAGUGUAUGGAAGGAUAUGUAUCUAUCUAUAUAUACACCAAACCGUGG
This 5304-nucleotide long non-coding RNA is filed under the name Homo sapiens (human). RNAcentral describes it as "non-protein coding lnc-TRIM32-5:4". The record is from RNAcentral. Lineage: Eukaryota; Metazoa; Chordata; Mammalia; Primates; Hominidae.